AACGUAGGACGCAAACGUUAUCCGGAAUUACUGGGCGUAAAGGGCGCGCAGGCGGUUGGAUAAGAGAGGCAUGAAAGCCCCAUGGCUAAACCUGGGGAGGUUGUCUGAGACUGUCCGACUAGAGUACGAUAGAGGGGUGUAGAAUUCCGCGUGUAGUGGUGAAAUGCGUAGAGAUGCGGAGGAAUACCAGAGGCGAAGGCGGCACCCUGGAUCGUAACUGACGCUGAGGCGCGAAAGCAUGGGUAGCGAACGGGAUUAGAAACCUUGUAGUCC
Molecule: ribosomal RNA, 273 nt
Filed under: uncultured prokaryote
Description: partial 16S ribosomal RNA
Rfam family: Bacterial small subunit ribosomal RNA
Source: RNAcentral